UUUUGAUUUGGUUCUGGCUUAGACCGUCAUGCAUGUGAAUUAAAAUAUGACACGCUGUUUUCUGCGGUGUGUUUUGAAACAAUAACAUUCUAAGCAGCCUCAGGUUUAUUUGCUACCAUGUACUUGGGUUGUGAACUAUUUUUAUUUUCAUUUCUAUUCUGAUUGUCUAGUCGAUUUACUUCUUUGUUCUAUGUUUGACUUUUUUAGUUGAAUUCUGACAGUGCAAAAGUUUACAUGAUUCUUGGUGGUCUUCUCUUUGUAAUGUUGAUCUGCGACUUGGUGGUCUUCUCUUUGUAAUGUUGAUCUGCGACUUGGUUUGAAGAAUUAUGCAACUAUUCUUUCUUUCUUCUUGUUUAUUAUUUUACAACCUAUUUUUUCACAGCU
RNAcentral lists this long non-coding RNA (384 nucleotides) under Trifolium pratense (red clover). Its description in RNAcentral is "long non-coding RNA (TPRA_LNC006147)". Lineage: Eukaryota; Viridiplantae; Streptophyta; Magnoliopsida; Fabales; Fabaceae. The record is from RNAcentral.